Molecule: ribosomal RNA, 371 nt
Filed under: Blidingia marginata
Lineage: Eukaryota; Viridiplantae; Chlorophyta; Ulvophyceae; Ulvales; Ulvaceae
Description: bacterial LSU rRNA
Rfam family: Bacterial large subunit ribosomal RNA
Source: RNAcentral
GCUUGACUGGAACUUGAUAUUGGGUUCCGAUUUCUUUCGCGCAGUAUAGGUGGGAGGCGGCGAUAGGGCAUUUUCGGAUGUUCAGGAGCCANACAGUGAGAUACCACUCUUAAGAAAUUAGAAUUCUAAUAAGACUCNCUUGAAUCAGGAUCUUAAACAGUGUCAAGUGGCUAGUUUGACUGGGGCGGUGACCUCCCAAAAGGUAACGGAGGUGUACAAAGGUUCCUUCAAGCUGGACGGAAAUCAGCUGUAGAGCGCAAAGGCAUAAGGGAGCUUGAUUGUGAGACCAACAAGUCAAACAAGGGCGAAAGCCGGUCUUAGUGAUCCGACGGUACCGUGUGGAAGGGCCGUCGCUCAACGGAUAAAAGUUA